This is a non-coding RNA of Caenorhabditis elegans, 21 nucleotides long. The record is from Ensembl. Lineage: Eukaryota; Metazoa; Nematoda; Chromadorea; Rhabditida; Rhabditidae.
UUGGGAGAAAUCUACGGAAAU